Molecule: long non-coding RNA, 464 nt
Organism: Mytilus trossulus (common blue mussel)
Lineage: Eukaryota; Metazoa; Mollusca; Bivalvia; Mytilida; Mytilidae
Exons: 3
Source: RefSeq, a predicted model, not a curated record
AAAGCAGUUUUUAACGCUUCCCUAUUUUUCAGAUUAUUUUAAGUGGCCACAAUUUCCUGCAUGCCAUUAGGAAACACCAGCUAAGAUUCUGAAAAGUUGCUGAAAAAGACAAGUUGAUAGGUCAUCAUUUAUCGGCGGGACAAUAAUUCUGUUGUUUAGAGGAAAGCAUGCCUACAAAGAUAUUUUUACAGCAUGCCUUAAAGAUGUUUAGCCAAUCAUAAUAAGAUAUUUUCCUUUGGCUUAAAUACAAAUUAAAGAGAAGGAAAAGUCUUCACAGAUUCCAGGCAGAUGUUUGGCUCGCUGGAGAAAUAAUAAAAGUCAAGAUUUUGUUGCAUAAUUAGUGUGAAAAAGAGCAUGAAUCAGACAAAAAAAUUGAAGUAGUUUUGACGAAUUAAAUGAAAACACAGCAUGGGAUUUGAUCUUCCAAAUAUUACAUAAUCUCGAUAUCAGCUGGACUUAGUGAU